Molecule: long non-coding RNA, 472 nt
Organism: Erpetoichthys calabaricus (reedfish)
Lineage: Eukaryota; Metazoa; Chordata; Cladistia; Polypteriformes; Polypteridae
Exons: 2
Source: RefSeq, a predicted model, not a curated record
UGUCAAAUGAGCAGGGUCAGGGUGAAAGAUGUGAGACGCUGAUGGACUCGCAGCACUCGUGUUCUCAUUUUCCAAACUCCUCUUUUUCAGUAUAGGAUGGCAGAUUGGAUGCCAGUCCCUGGCAGGACACGCUGACAUGCCAACUUAUUCUUCUAUCACAGAACUCCUUCUGAUGAAAUUGGAGCACUCAGAGGGACAGAAGCCGGGUCCGUGGAGCCAUUCAGGCAGCACUGGUAACAAGUGGCCAGUAAAUCAAAGACACGUUUUUGCAUUUAUGGAUGGCGUCGGGCACAUGUAUGGACACUUUGCAGAGAUCUCCACCACAGUCCAUGAUGGCAGACAUGGCUACGCCACCAAAGGCUCCACGAGACACAGAAGACUGACUCAUUUGGGGGAGACCUGAAGCAGGUAUUAAACUGAGAUGUCAAAAUAAGUUCAGCAAAUCAAGUAAGUGCAAAGAGCAAAAUAAAAA